Molecule: long non-coding RNA, 1281 nt
Filed under: Gallus gallus (chicken)
Lineage: Eukaryota; Metazoa; Chordata; Aves; Galliformes; Phasianidae
Source: RNAcentral
CGAGCGGCGCCGGGGGGCGGCCCGGGGCGGCGGGGCCGUUUGCAGGGGGCGGCGGAGCCGGGGUGCGCCCCGCGGGACGGGAGCGGAGCGGCCCCGCGAGGUGCGCUGACAGUUGUGGCCGGGCAUCGCCUGCCGUGAGUCAGGGAGCAGCGAGCAGCGCUGCGUGGUUACUGAUUAAGCCUUUAAUUUUUAAGGAAGUCCGAGCUCGGGGAAGCCACUUCACGUUGCAAUAGCAGCGGAUUGCUAACCCGAGCGAACGCGGAUUAAGCUCGCUUUUAAAAGCUUCGAACUCGCCUGUUGUGGCUGAUUUGUUGUUCGCGUUUUCGUCUUUGCACCUCUUUCCGUCCAAGUGCUGCGCGCUCACGCGGUGCCUACGGGGUCGUCCGGGCAGCGCGACAUGGAGGUGUGCGGGGCGGGACAGCCCGGCGCGCUGCUGCUGUGCGGCCCGGCGCUGAGCUACGGCCGUGCGAGCGCUGACGGAACCUGGCGGACCGUCGGCCCGAACCAAUGGGAAAUGAUCCAGAUUUAGCGCUGGUAAUUGAGUUUAUUUCUGUAGCAGCACCACAGAAGGCUCUGUGUCAGUAACGGGUGAAGUUUGAUGCUGAAAAUGGAAAAAAAAAGACUGCACGAGGCAGCUGCUGCUCCUUGGUAGGACACGGGAACCGGGUCACACAUCUGAGAUCCACGGCGCUCUGCGUUUAAUAACUGAGAUCUGUUUGUGUUCUGAAGUAAAUAAUUCCUGAACUACAGCGAGUAAGGGACUGUUUUUUCCUCAGGAGAAAUACAAAGAGAUAAACCCAAAAGACUUUUUCCUUAAUUACCUGGUUAGAGAAGAUGAGAUCAAAAGAAAAUACUGUGGAUGAUAAGCUGAGGAGAGGUGGGGAACUCCUGCCGUAUACCUCCUGAUUUCUAUUUCCUAUUGCGUUCUGAGAUAAUGCUGGAAUGGGGAGUGACCAUAGCUAACACGGUGUGUACAUGCUAUGAUUUUAUAGGCUCCCAUCGAUGGGCCACGCUGCUCUCCCUUCCUGGUCAUGUGUGCUUUGGGAUCAGUGAGGGCUGGGUGCUUUCAGUGGGUGAUGCUGUAGGGUUUCAGCUGCACUAAAAGGACCGACUGCUGAAGCAGGGAGAUACCUAAACAAACCACUCCAAGAAGGGCUGAAGUUGCUGUUGCAGUUAUUCAGGUUUGCUUAGAAAAGAUCCCAGUUUGUUUGGAAGUGGGCAAAUACAAUCUUGUAUUAGUAACAAAGCUCGGCUCGGGCUGGCAUGGAGGACUGCUGAGCU